AGCAGCAGCCACGGGAAUACGGAGGGUGCGAGCGUUAAUCGGAAUUACUGGGCGUAAAGCGUACGCAGGCGGUUUGUUAAGUCAGAUGUGAAAUCCCCGAGCUUAACUCGGGAACUGCAUUUGAAACUGGCAGGCUAGAGUCUCGUAGAGGGGGGUAGAAUUCCAGGUGUAGCGGUGAAAUGCGUAGAGAUCUGGAGGAAUACCGGUGGCGAAGGCGGCCCCCUGGACGAAGACUGACGCUCAGGUACGAAAGCGUGGGGAGCAAACAGGAUUAGAUACCCCGGUAGUCCCUGUCUCUUAUAC
This 303-nucleotide ribosomal RNA is filed under the name uncultured bacterium. RNAcentral's name for it is "partial 16S ribosomal RNA". It matches the Rfam family "Bacterial small subunit ribosomal RNA", at positions 507 to 807 of the family's 1533-position model. The record is from RNAcentral.